UCCCCGUUACCGAGGCAGUCUGGCUAGAAAAAUUCAACUAACCAUAGGGGUUGCGCUCGUUGAUGGACUUAACCAAACAUCUCACGACACGAGCUGACGACGGCCAUGCAUCACCUGUCACUAGGCUCCUUGCGGCACUUUUUCCUUUCAGAAAAAUUCCCAGGAUGUCAAGCCUUGGUAAGGUUCUUCGCUUAUCGUCGAAUUAAACAACACGCUCCACCGCUUGUGCGGGUCCCCGUCAAUUCCUUUAUGUUUUAGCCUUGCGGCCGUACUCCACAGGCGGGAUGCUUAACGCGUUAGCUUCGCUACUAACCGGGUCGAUACGGCUAACAGCUAGCAUCCAUAGUUUACGGCGUGGACUAC
RNAcentral lists this unclassified non-coding RNA (363 nucleotides) under uncultured bacterium. Its description in RNAcentral is "contains 16S-23S intergenic spacer region". The record is from RNAcentral.